GGCUCCGUGGCGUAAUGGUGGCGCGUCGGAUUCCAAUGAUUGUUGGUACUAUCCGAAGGUUGGGGGUUCGAUCCCCUCCGGGGUCA
Molecule: non-coding RNA, 86 nt
Organism: Chlamydomonas reinhardtii
Lineage: Eukaryota; Viridiplantae; Chlorophyta; Chlorophyceae; Chlamydomonadales; Chlamydomonadaceae
Source: Rfam